GUUACUCGAUCCCUGUGAGCGCAGAGUCCCUUUUAAUGACUAUUUUCGUGGGAAUUAUUGUGGAGGGAAGGAGAGAGAAGAGAGAAGAGAAGAGAAGGGAAAGGAGGGAAGGCCAGGGGAGGGAGAAAGAAGACAGGAUAAAGCCCAAUAGGUACUUAUUUAAUUACGUAACUAAGAAGGGGAUUUACAAGGAGGUAAGAUAAGAGCGAGGCGGAACCAAAGACAGAGCACUAGAGAGGAAAAGGAGAAUCAAGCGUUGAGGAUGAAAGCAUGGAGACGAAUAGAUUAAGGAGUCAGGGAAGUUUUGGAGGGGAUUCGAGGUGAAGAUGGAAAAUGAAACAGGGAAGAGGAGGGAGGAGAGAGAAGGGGCAAGGCGGUGGCGAUAGAAGGACAGAGGGGAGGGAGCUCUGGAAGCAGGUAGGAGGGGUGGGGAAGGCACGGAAGGGAAGGAAGCAACGCGAGAAAGAACGGGAUGAGGCAGUGCAGUGGGAGUGAAACAAUGCCAAGGGUUCUUCGGGGAAGUUCUAAGCUUCUGGCCAGCUACCAAGACCAGCUCGGCCUUAGCAAGUGAGCGCUCGGGCUCUCCAGAAAUGGCGCCCGACUUUGAGACCAUCACAGGAGUAACAACCGACGUGAACUUAUUCGUAUUUCUACAUCUCCCAUGAGAAUGCUAGGACGUUUCCGGCCUGAGAACUUAUGAUGCACUGCGUAACACCCUGCGUGUCCUUGUGUUCUUGAGCAGCUGAGCUGAGAGAAAUGGUGGAGAGCUUGUGGCUCUUCCAGGCAAGGAUGUGUCGGUUAUGAGCACGUGCGGAGCGCUCAGGAGCCCACAGCAGAUGUCUAAGUCGUCACCUCGGACAGUGGGCAGAGCCAUCGAGGAUACCAGCAGCUAAAAGAAGCUUCCUCACCUACCCUCCAACAAGGCUGAGCAGGAGGAUUAUAAAUUUGGGCCCAGUCUGGGCAACACAGUAACUAAAUGA
Long non-coding RNA from Fukomys damarensis (Damara mole-rat), 980 nucleotides. RefSeq lists it as uncharacterized. The record is from RefSeq and is a predicted model, not a curated record. The transcript has 3 exons. Lineage: Eukaryota; Metazoa; Chordata; Mammalia; Rodentia; Bathyergidae.